GAUGAACGCUGGCGGCGUGCCUAAUACAUGCAAGUCGAGCGAACGGACGAGAAGCUUGCUUCUCUGAUGUUAGCGGCGGACGGGUGAGUAACACGUGGAUAACCUACCUAUAAGACUGGGAUAACUUCGGGAAACCGGAGCUAAUACCGGAUAAUAUUUUGAACCGCAUGGUUCAAAAGUGAAAGACGGUCUUGCUGUCACUUAUAGAUGGAUCCGCGCUGCAUUAGCUAGUUGGUAAGGUAACGGCUUACCAAGGCAACGAUGCAUAGCCGACCUGAGAGGGUGAUCGGCCACACUGGAACUGAGACACGGUCCAGACUCCUACGGGAGGCAGCAGUAGGGAAUCUUCCGCAAUGGGCGAAAGCCUGACGGAGCAACGCCGCGAGAGUGAUGAAGGUCUUCGGAUCGUAAAACUCUGUUAUUAGGGAAGAACAUAUGUGUAAGUAACUGUGCACAUCUUGACGGUACCUAAUCAGAAAGCCACGGCUAACUACGUG
Molecule: ribosomal RNA, 497 nt
Filed under: uncultured bacterium
Lineage: Bacteria
Description: partial 16S ribosomal RNA
Rfam family: Bacterial small subunit ribosomal RNA
Source: RNAcentral